RNAcentral lists this long non-coding RNA (281 nucleotides) under Brassica napus (rape). RNAcentral describes it as "long non-coding RNA (BNAP_LNC016617)". The record is from RNAcentral. Lineage: Eukaryota; Viridiplantae; Streptophyta; Magnoliopsida; Brassicales; Brassicaceae.
UGGAGAAAGUUACCACAGUAAAUAUUAGUUACUAUGGUAAAAAGGGUUAAAAGGAAGUUACCUUAGUGAAAGGAGUUACUUGAGAGUGAAAUGGGUAAAGGGAAACUUACCAGGAAGAGAGGAGUGUGCGCUGAGGUUAGGAUCAGGUUGUGGAUAAGGUGGAGAGCCUUGACAGGCUGUGACAGGCUGGAAAGGCAAAGCAUCUCAGUCCAAGAUGCCUCACACACGAUCACACUCCCAUUGGCUGAGUUUGAAAUGAGGAGCCUCUUCCCUUUGACUCC